RNAcentral lists this ribosomal RNA (2969 nucleotides) under Polyangiaceae bacterium. RNAcentral describes it as "23S ribosomal RNA". It matches the Rfam family "Bacterial large subunit ribosomal RNA". The record is from RNAcentral. Lineage: Bacteria; Pseudomonadati; Myxococcota; Polyangiales; Polyangiaceae.
GGUCAAGCUACGAAGGGCGCACGGUGGAUGCCUAGGCGAUCAGAGGCGAAGAAGGACGUGGAUAGCUGCGAAAAGCUCCGGUUAGUCGCUAACAGACGUUUGACCCGGAGAUCUCCGAAUGGGACAACCCGGCAGGGUUAUACCUGUCAGUCCGCUGGUGAAUCCAUAACCAGAGGGCAGCCAAGUCAGGGAACUGAAACAUCUAAGUACCUGAACGAAAGGAAAUCAAAAGAGACUCCCCUAGUAGUGGCGAGCGAACGGGGACGAGCCUAAACCCGCAAAGGUAAAACUUUACGGGGGUCGUGGGGCUUGCGAUAUGGGACUCAAGAAGUUAGUCGAACGGUAUGGAAAGGCCGGCCAUAGCAGGUGACAGCCCUGUAGACGAAAACGGAAGGAGCCCUAGCGAGUACCCGAGUACCGCAGGACACGAGUAAUCCGGCGGGAAUCUGGGAGGACCAUCUUCCAAGGCUAAGUACUCCUGAUCGACCGAUAGUGAACAAGUACCGCGAGGGAAAGGUGAAAAGAACCCCGGUUAGGGAGUGAAAUAGUACCUGAAACCGUGUGCCUACAAGCAGUGGGAGCGCUAUGCCCGCAAGGGAAGGCGUGACCACGUACCUUUGCAUAAUGGGCCUGCGAGUUACCGUGUGUGGCAAGGUUAAGCCGAGAGGUGAAGCCGGAGCGAAAGCGAGUCCUAACAGGGCGCCAAGUCGCACGCGGUAGACCCGAAACCUUAGCGAUCUAUCCAUGUCCAGGUUGAAGAGCGGGUAACACCGCUUGGAGGACCGAACUCACCGCAGUUGAAAAUGCGGGGGAUGAGGUGUGGAUAGGAGUGAAAGGCUAAUCAAGCUGGGAUAUAGCUGGUUCUCCCCGAAAUAUAUUGAGGUAUAGCCUCGGACGAAUUGCGGUGGAGGUAGAGCACUGAAUGGGCUAGGGGUCCUACCAGAUUACCAAACCCAAUCAAACUCCGAAUGCCACUGACAAGUAUCCGGGAGUCAGGCUGCGGGAGAUAAGUUCCGUAGCCGAGAGGGAAAGAGCCCAGAUCGUCGGUUAAGGUCCCUAAAUCUGAGCUAAGUGUCAAAGGAUGUGGAAACGCAUUGACAACCAGGAGGUUGGCUUAGAAGCAGCCAUCCUUUAAAGAAAGCGUAAUAGCUCACUGGUCAAGCGAGUCUGCGCCGAAAAUAUAACGGGGCUAAGCUCAGUACCGAAGCCACGGGCUCUGAAUAAGAGCGGUAGGGGGAGCAUUGUCAGGGAGAUACACGCCGGACGGAAACGACCGGUAUCGGCCCUGAGAAGAGCUUAUGCAGGCAUGAGUAGCGAUAAACCGAGUGAGAAACUCGGUCGCCGUAAGCCCAAGGAUUCCUGGGGAAGGAUAAUCCUCCCAUGGGUUAGUCGGAGCCUAAGCCGAGGCCGAAAGGCGUAGGUGAUGGGAAGCAGGUUAAUAUUCCUGCACCACCAAGGAUGGCGUUGAAGUAAGCGGGGACGGAGAAGGGUAGGCCGAGCACGGUGGUUGGUUAUCCGUGUUCAAGCCAGUAGGAUGAGUUGCUAGGACCCGAUAGGGACAAACGGCAACUCGCGUAUCCGAGAGGUGAUGAGGUCCGAGCCUAGCUCGGGAUACUCGGUGAUCCCAGACUUCCAAGAAAAUCCGCGUACAGAGCCCCUUUGGUGUCCGUACCGCAAACCGACUCAGGUGGGCGGGAAGAAUAUUCCAAGGCGCGUGAGAGAACCCUGGUUAAGGAACUCGGCAAAAUGACACCGUAACUUCGGGAGAAGGUGUGCCGGUUUGCGUGAAGAGGUUUACCCUCGGAGCGUCGGCCGGUUGCAGAGAAAUGGGGGUUGUGACUGUUUACUAAAAACACAGGACUCUGCAAAGUCGUAAGACGACGUAUAGGGUCUGAUGCCUGCCCGGUGCUGGAAGGUUAAGGGGAAGAGUCAGCGUAAGCAAAGCUUUGAACCGAAGCCCCAGUAAACGGCGGCCGUAACUAUAACGGUCCUAAGGUAGCGAAAUUCCUUGUCGGGUAAGUUCCGACCUGCACGAAUGGCAUAACAACAUCCCCGCUGUCUCGACCAGGGACUCAGCGAAAUUGUAUCGGGGGUGAAGAUACCCUCUACCCGCGGCAAGACGGAAAGACCCCAUGAACCUUUACUGCAACUUGGCAGUGAUUUUUCGGGAUGUUCUGCGUAGGAUAGGUGGGAGGCUUUGAGGCUGGGCUUCUGGGUUCAGCGGAGCCAACGUUGAAAUACCACCCUGGACUUUCUGGAAAUCUAACCUAGACCCGUUACCCGGGUCAGGGACACUGCCUGGUGGGCAGUUUGACUGGGGCGGUCGCCUCCCAAAAAGUAACGGAGGCGUGCGAAGGUUCCCUCAGCCUGAUUGGAAACCAGGCGUAGAGUGCAAACGCACAAGGGAGCUUAACUGUGAGACCGACAGGUCGAACAGGUGCGAAAGCAGGCGUUAGUGAUCCGGUGGUUCUGCAUGGAAGGGCCAUCGCUUAUCGGAUAAAAGGUACUCUGGGGAUAACAGGCUGAUCGCGCCUGAGAGUUCACAUCGGCGGCGCGGUUUGGCACCUCGAUGUCGGCCCAUCGCAUCCUGGGGCUGGAGCAGGUCCCAAGGGUUCGGCUGUUCGCCGAUUAAAGCGGUACGCGAGCUGGGUUUAAAACGUCGUGAGACAGUUUGGUCCCUAUCUGCCGUGGGCGUAGGACACUUGAGAGGAGCUGCCCAUAGUACGAGAGGACCUGGGUGGACGUACCUCUGGUGUUCCGGUUGUUCUGCCAAGAGCAUAGCCGGGUAGCCAUGUACGGAACGGAUAACCGCUGAAAGCAUCUAAGCGGGAAGCCGGCCUCAAGACUAGGUGUCCCGAGUCGCAAGACUCCUAAAGACCCCUUGUAGACUACAAGGUUGAUAGGCCAGGUGUGGAUUCCGAGUAAUCGGAGGAGCUAACUGGUACUAAUCGGUCGUGCGGCUUGACCAU